AUUGAACGCUGGCGGCAUGCCUUACACAUGCAAGUCGAACGGUAACGGGCCUUCGGGUGCCGACGAGUGGCGCACGGGUGCGUAAUACAUCGGAACGUGCCCGAUCGUGGCGGAUAACGAGGCGAAAGCUUUGCUAAUACCGCAUACGAUCUACGGAUGAAAGUAGGGGACCGCAAGGCCUUGCGCGGACGGAGCGGCCGAUGGCAGAUUAGGUAGUUGGUGGGAUAAACGCUUACCAAGCCGACGAUCUGUAGCUGGUCUGAGAGGAUGAUCAGCCACACUGGGACUGAGACACGGCCCAGACUCCUACGGGAGGCAGCAGUGGGGAAUUUUGGACAAUGGGCGCAAGCCUGAUCCAGCCAUGCCGCGUGCAGGAUGAAGGCCUUCGGGUUGUAAACUGCUUUUGUACGGAACGAAAAGCCUUCUUUUAAUACAGGAGGGUCAUGACGGUACCGUAAGAAUAAGCACCGGCUAACUACGUG
Molecule: ribosomal RNA, 482 nt
Filed under: uncultured bacterium
Lineage: Bacteria
Description: partial 16S ribosomal RNA
Rfam family: Bacterial small subunit ribosomal RNA
Source: RNAcentral